UAAAGUUCACUAAAGACAAAGUUUGAAAUAUAUAUAUAGUAUUUAAAUUAUUUAUUAUAUAGAUUUUCAGCAAUGAUAUUUUCUGUUACAGUCGUCAAAGCACGCUCUAAUAAAGAAAAAGAGACUAAAGAGACUAAACCAACUAAAAAAAAAAGAAAGAAAGAAUGUGAAUGUCAGUGGUCAAAUGUAGGAACGUUGGAACGUUUGGAAUAAUAUUGGAACGUUUGUAUAACGGAAGUUUGUAUAACGGAAGUAGGAAUACUUUGUCCGGUCCUUAUUUCCGGUUGCAGGUACGGCGGGGUUUCAAGUCAAAAAAAGUUUCAGGCGAAGAACAUGGAAUAUCUACGUGGAGCUACAAAUGACAACACGACUCUGCUAGUUUUGACUUGCAAUUGUGUUACAAACAUAACGCCAUAGCCAUGAAAAGGGGACACGACUGAGGUGGCCAACGUGUGGUACGACGUACAACGGAUACACGUUACCUGUGCGAAGUCCUGAAGGAAGCUAAGGAGGCACAUCAACGACAUCCAGACGUCUGUAGACCUCACCAUGUUCAUCAGUGCCUCAAAGGACGACACCGCCAAGGAGGCCAGGCAGAACCAGUAAGAGGGGCUCCAGGUGACGAUCAACAGCCUGAAGAUGCUGCUGAGGGACGUGGAGCAGGAUCUGAGCAUCUGUACGAACAAUUUUAAACAAACCAAAUCAUUUCAGUCAUCCCGACACGUCGGUAGGUUGACGAAAAAGAAGAUGUUGUACUCAAUGAGACAGGAGAAGCAAAGAAAGACGGAGUAGAAGAGCAGACAGAUUAUACUGAGUAGAUUUCAGAGGAAACGGAAACACUGCUACCCACAUCUGAGCCAUAGCUGAUAGCCAGUGUCUUCAGAGCCCAGGGCAGACCAAGCCCCACCAAGAUGUCAAAGACGUUGCUGCCUAU
Cynoglossus semilaevis (tongue sole) is the source of this 934-nucleotide long non-coding RNA. RefSeq lists it as uncharacterized. The record is from RefSeq and is a predicted model, not a curated record. The transcript is spliced from 6 exons. Lineage: Eukaryota; Metazoa; Chordata; Actinopteri; Pleuronectiformes; Cynoglossidae.